AAUGUAUAUGGGUAGGGGAGCGUUCUCAUCGGAUUGAAGCAGUACCGUAAGGAGUUGUGGACUGGUGAGAAGUGAGAAUGUCGGUAUGAGUAGCGAAAAGAAUGGUGAGAAUCCAUUCCACCGAAAGCCUAAGGGUUCCUGAGCAACGAUCGUCGUCUCAGGGUAAGUCGGGACCUAAGCCGAGGCGGAAAAGCGUAGGCGAUGGACAACAGGUUGAAAUUCCUGUACCGGUGUGAAUCGUUUGAUCGAAGGAGUGACACAGUAAGGUAGGUCAGCACGCGAUUGGAAGUGCGUGUUUAAGCAUGUAGGUUGAGUUAUAGGCAAAUCCGUAACUCUAAAAGCUGAGAUGUGAUGACGAGCUGUUUACAGCGAAGUGAUUGAUCCUACACUGUCGAGAAAAGCUUCUAGGUAGAGACACAUCGCCCGUACCAAAACCGACACAGGUAGGCGGGGAGAGAAUCCUAAGGUGCGCGGGAAAACCCUCGUUAAGGAACUCGGCAAAAUGCCUCCGUAACUUCGGGAAAAGGAGGACUCAUGUAGUGUGAAGGGCAGUAACGCGUGGAGCAUGAAUGAGUGGCACAAGAGAGGCGCAAGCGACUGUUUACCACAAACACAGGUGCCUGCUAAAGCGAAAGCUGAUGUAUAGGUGCUGACACCUGCCCGGUGCUGGAAGGUUAAGAGGAGGGGUUAGACUUUGGUCGAAGCUCUGAAUUGAAGCCCCAGUAAACGGCGGCCGUAACUAUAACGGUCCUAAGGUAGCGAAAUUCCUUGUCGGGUAAGUUCCGACCCGCACGAAAGGUGUAACGACUUGCGCACUGUCUCAACGAGGGACCCGGUGAAAUUGAAGUACCUGUGAAGAUGCAGGUUACCCGCGACUGGACAGAAAGACCCCAUGGAGCUUUACUGCAACCUAAGAUUGAACUUAGUUAAUGAAUGUACAGGAUAGGUGGGAGACUUAGAAUCUAGGGCGCCAGUCUUAGAGGAGUCGUUGUUGGGAUACCACCCUUUGAUUAAUUGAUUUCUAACAGGCCGAUUAACAACCGGCUGGACAGUCUUAGGCGGGCAGUUUGACUGGGGCGGUCGCCUCCUAAAGAGUAACGGAGGCGCCCAAAGGUUCCCUCAGAGCGGACGGAAAUCGCUCGAAGAGUGUAAAGGCAGAAGGGAGCUUGACUGCGAGACGGACAGGUCGAGCAGGGACGAAAGUCGGGCUUAGUGAUCCGGUGGUGCCGAGUGGAAGGGCCAUCGCUCAACGGAUAAAAGCUACCCUGGGGAUAACAGGCUAAUCUCUCCCAAGAGUCCAUAUCGACGGGGAGGUUUGGCACCUCGAUGUCGGCUCAUCACAUCCUGGGGCUGAAGUAGGUCCCAAGGGUUCGGCUGUUCGCCGAUUAAAGUGGUACGUGAGCUGGGUUCAGAACGUCGUGAGACAGUUCGGUCCCUAUCCAUCGCGGGCGCAAGAAACUUGAAGGGGGCUGCUCCUAGUACGAGAGGACCGGAGUGGACGAACCGCUGGUGUACCAAUUAUCCUGCCAAGGGUACAGUUGGGUAGCUACGUUCGGGACGGAUAAACGCUGAAAGCAUCUAAGCGUGAAACCAGCCUUGAGAUGAGGUUUCUCAUAGCAUAAGCUAGUAAGAUCCCAUGUAGACGACAUGGUUGAUAGGCCAGGUGUGGAAGAGCUGUGAGGCUUGGAGCUGACUGGUACUAAUAGAUCGAGGGCUUUACUUA
RNAcentral lists this ribosomal RNA (1723 nucleotides) under human gut metagenome. Its description in RNAcentral is "bacterial LSU rRNA". It matches the Rfam family "Bacterial large subunit ribosomal RNA", at positions 1217 to 2925 of the family's 2925-position model. The record is from RNAcentral.